GGUGCCAUUUGGCUCAGUGUAUCUGGUAAUUAGGGCAUUGGCGACCUUGGGGAGAAGUGUUUUCGUGGGGAAAUAGGGACAGAAAACAUCCGCCGUGGGACAGGUUGAGCUGCGUGGCAGUAUGACAUCCUGGCUGGUCUCCUGGGAAGGUGCUCAGCUGGGGCCGGCUGCCUGUCCUUCUGCUCGCUCAGUGCUUCCUGAAACCAUCUGAACCUCAAAGGGCACCAGGGGGCGAGAGCCGGUGUCCCAUUGGUUGCUGACAUGGCUUCCUAAAAACAGAAGAAACGGCGGCCUUCUCACGCCGCGGGCUGGCCUUGGUGUGUGAGAAGCCCAGGCGGGGACAAGGGCAGGAGUUAGGCAUGUUUUGCAGCACCAGAUAAUGAAUGAAGCCAGGGCAGGACUCCUUCCAGGUCCCAUAGGCAGAGAGGGAGGGAAGACCGGAUACUCACCCAUAUCAGCCUGCCGGACAUUUUUCAUCCGGAUGACCUUCACUGUCAGCAGGUGGCAUGGAGAGACCCCAUCCUGUGGGUUGAGAGGACAGAGGACUCAUUCUUCAGGUGAUGACAACUGAUAGAGCAGCUCAAGCUGGACACAGGCUCCCACUGCUCAGACCCAAGAUGUCUCCUCACAUUCAGUCCACAUUUCUGGGCUCUUGAGGACAUUGCUGGUCCCCAAGACUGCUGAGGUGAGGGGCUUACUUCUCGCCUCACUAGGAGCCAGCACACCUUGGAAAGGGAUGGCUUCAUGCCUGUUCUGUUCAUGUUUCUCCUGUUUGAAUCUCACGAUUUGAAGCCCCUUCCCUGAGAGUUUUAACCAGGCUUAGAGGAAUCUGUUUACCAUCCACUCCCAGCCUGUGCCCAUGGAAGAUGCAUGGAACUCCUCCAUCUGACCAAGUGACCCUAUUUAAAGAGGCCUCUGAAGAACUUAUCAAACUCAACACCCAAAAAACAAAUAAUCCAGUGAAGAAAUGGGCAAAAGACAUGAAUAGACACUUCUCCAAAGAAGACAUCCAGAUGGCCAACUGACACAUGAAAAAAAUGCUCAACAUCACUCAUCAUCAGGGAAAUAGAAAUCAGAACCACAAUGAGACACCACCUCACACCUGUUAGAAUAACUAGCAUUAACAACUCAGGCAACAACAGAUGUUGGCGAGGAUGUGGAGAAAGAGGAUCUCUUUUGCAUCGUUGGUGGGAAUGCAAACUGGUGCAGCCACUCUGGAAAACAGUAUGGAGGUUCCUCAAAAAGCUAAAAAUAGAACUACCCUACGACCCAGCAAUUGCACUACUAGGCAUUUAUCCAUUGGAUACAGGUGUGCUGUUUCGAAGGGACACAGGCACCCCCAUGUUGAUAGCAGCACUACUGACAGUAGCCCAAGUAUGGAAAGAGCCCAAAUGUCCAUCGAUAGAUGAAUGGAUAAAGAAGAUGUGGUAUAUAUAUAUACAAUGGAGUAUUACUCAGCAAUCAAAAAGAAUGAAAUCUUGCCAUUUGCAACUACAUGGAUGGAACUGGAGGGUAUUAUGCUAAGUGAAAUUAGUCAGAGAAAGACAAAAAUCAUAUGAAUUCACUCAUAUGAGGACUUUAAGAGACAAAACAGAUGAACAUAAGGGAGGGGAAGCAAAAAUAUAAAAACAGGGAGGGGGACAAAACAUAAGAGACUCUUAAAUAUGGAGAACAAACAGAAGGUUACUGGAUGGGGUGUGGGAGGGGGGAUGGGCUAAAUGGGUAAGGGACAUUAAGGAAUCUACUCCUGAAAUCAUUGUUGCACUAUAUGCUAACUAACUUGGAUGUAAAUUAAGAAAUAAAUUAAAAAAAAAAAAGAGGCUUGUGAGUUAGGACCUUUCACACUCCACAUAGUUUGCCCUGUUGCCAAAAUCAUAUUACACCUUUUUAAGAAUAUGCAAUUCUUCUCUAUUUAAAAUAUUGUUGGGGUUUUGGGAAAAACAUAAAAGUAUGAAGAAAAAGAAAAGAGUCUCCAGCAUCCCACCA
This is a long non-coding RNA of Acinonyx jubatus (cheetah), 1986 nucleotides long. RefSeq lists it as uncharacterized. The transcript is spliced from 3 exons. NCBI's taxonomy places the organism in Eukaryota, Metazoa, Chordata, Mammalia, Carnivora, Felidae. The record is from RefSeq and is a predicted model, not a curated record.